RNAcentral lists this ribosomal RNA (692 nucleotides) under uncultured Eubacteriaceae bacterium. RNAcentral's name for it is "bacterial SSU rRNA". It matches the Rfam family "Bacterial small subunit ribosomal RNA", at positions 61 to 769 of the family's 1533-position model. Lineage: Bacteria; Bacillati; Bacillota; Clostridia; Eubacteriales; Eubacteriaceae. The record is from RNAcentral.
GUCGAACGGUGAAGAGGAGCUUGCUCCUCGGAACAGUGGCGGACGGGUGAGUAACACGUGAGCAACCUGGCUCUAAGAGGGGGACAACAGUUGGAAACGACUGCUAAUACCGCAUAACGUAUCGGGAUGGCAUCUUCCUGAUACCAAAGAUUUUAUCGCUUAGAGAUGGGCUCGCGUCUGAUUAGAUAGUUGGCGGGGUAACGGCCCACCAAGUCGACGAUCAGUAGCCGGACUGAGAGGUUGAACGGCCACAUUGGGACUGAGACACGGCCCAGACUCCUACGGGAGGCAGCAGUGGGGGAUAUUGGACAAUGGGGGCAACCCUGAUCCAGCGACGCCGCGUGAGGGAAGAAGGUUUUCGGAUUGUAAACCUCUGUUGACGGAGAAAAAAAUGAUGGUAUCCGUUUAGAAAGCCACGGCUAACUACGUGCCAGCAGCCGCGGUAAUACGUAGGUGGCAAGCGUUGUCCGGAAUUACUGGGUGUAAAGGGAGUGUAGGCGGGAUAUCAAGUCAGAAGUGAAAAUUACGGGCUCAACUCGUAACCUGCUUUUGAAACUGACAUUCUUGAGUGAAGUAGAGGCAAGCGGAAUUCCUAGUGUAGCGGUGAAAUGCGUAGAUAUUAGGAGGAACACCAGUGGCGAAGGCGGCUUGCUGGGCUUUUACUGACGCUGAGGCUCGAAAGCGUGGGGAGC